Molecule: long non-coding RNA, 2110 nt
Filed under: Mus caroli (Ryukyu mouse)
Lineage: Eukaryota; Metazoa; Chordata; Mammalia; Rodentia; Muridae
Description: predicted gene 29183 (MGP_CAROLIEiJ_G0004415.1)
Source: RNAcentral
AGCAAGUCCAGAGCUCUGCGGUUUGCAUCCCUGGAUGAAGUCUGUCAGACAAGUGAAAAUCUGUUGAGACAAAUAUAGACUCGGGACAGAAGGAUCCCGGAGGCCCUCACCCACACCAUGGAAUCCCAGUCCCCCAACAGCUUCCACGAUGGGGCUUCUUUUAGGAAAACCAAACUCUAGUUCUGGAGGCCAAGACCUGAAGGCCUGCACAGGGCGCCCAAGCCCACCAGGGGGUAGUGUCUACCCAUGUGGAGAGGCCCUGAGAGGCCCAAGCAGAGGAAGGAAGGCAGAGGCCAGAUCUUGUUAGGCAGUGCAGACGUGCACAAGAGAACGUGCUGGCCUCAGACCAGGCCUGGAGCGUGCAGUACCCUGCGUAUGCCUAGGUGUGGCCUCAGGUGCCAGACACUCAGCUGGUCGCUCUGACUUCCGGACCUCUAUCUGAUGAUUUUCCUGGCAGUCUGCAAUCCUUUGUCCACGGAAGCGGGAAGCUUAGCAGUUUGUCUUCUUUAUAGCCUGCAUCUUUAGAGGCGUUAAGAUCCCCUAGCCAUUGAUGGGAGGGUGUUUUCUGGGACUAGCCAGCCUCCUUUCUCCACACUCCAUGAAGAGAUGGGCUGGCCUACAACUACUGCUAGGAACUCCAGAGGCUGCCAUAUUACUCUUAAAAAUUAAGAAGUUUGAUUAGUAAUUCAAGUUCAAGAAGAUAAGAUAUCUUAAGAGGCAGGAGCUCUAACUUCCUUCUUCAUCUCCUCUGGGGUCCUGGAAAUGCUUGACAAUGGAACACAUUGGAUCAAACUGAGGGGGCCUCUGCCUGGGAAAGAAGGGUAAAGACUGAAGGUCCUCUGUGCUGGGGCAAUGCAGGCUGGCAGCCCUGUGACUCUAGACCAUGAUCCAGGGGAACUGAUCAUGUGACUUCUAACAACAUUUGGUGAUGCUGAGUCUGUGUGACUCCAAAGCCUAGGUCCUAGGAAGCACUGUGAACCUCUUCUUGAACCCUCUUCUUGGAUCACGUACUGGGGGGGGGGAAGUCCGCUGCUGUGUCACAAGAAGGGUAUGUGGCAACAACUUAGGGUCACCAACAUUUCGUUCAAGUGAAUAGACAGUCACGUGACUCACAGAGCCAGCCGUCUGAUGACAACGCUGUAUGCAUCCUGACUCAACUUCCUGCUAGAACUUGAGCCUGACCCUCAGACACAGAAACUGAAGCUCAACAGACUUCUCAAGGGCAGGUGGAGUGAGACUAUCUGAUUCACAAGAUGCUGAGAUAGAACACAUCCUACUUUGAAGAAGCCAAAUCCAGGUUUAUGCUGACCUGGCACUGCUUCACCCAGCAUUCCAGAUGCAAAUGCAGAGAAUGGAGAGCCUGCGAGCAACCGGAUGACUGUAGUUUGGAAAUAAAUAGCUCUGGAGCCCGGAUGCUCCUAAAGGAAGCCCGUAUCCGCUCAACUUGGUGGAUGCUGAAGUGCUGGGAGUCGUGAACUGGUGGCUGAAACAGCAACUUGGUCUCCCAACCUUGAUGCCUUAAGAAGGUUCACAGAAAAUGGCCGUCAGCAUUCUUACAGAGUCACUAAGAAGACAAAAUUGGAGCAUCAAAGCCAUCCAGGAAGUGAAAAUGCUCCAGCCUGGGUCAUACACAAAAAGCAGGAGAAAACUUUAACAUGCAUCCUGGCUGAAUCAGUGUCUAAAAGCAGCAUUUGAAAAUAUGAAACAAAAACUUUAAAUCAUAAGUUGCAAAGCUCAGAACAAAAAUACCCCCCAACAUCCUUAUAUACUCAAGAAAAACAUGCAAUAAGAAUUGAAUAAACUCUGGAAAGCAAUAGAAGGAAAAAAUAAAUAAAAUAAAUAAAAAUAAAUGCUAUCUUAGUACCCAUAAGACCCCAAAUAUUAUUGGAUAUGAGGAACGUGAGAGAGAUUAACAGAAUGGAGAUAAAGCAAAGGUGGGAACAAAAGUCAUAUGGAGACCACGUGUUAGACAUCAGACCCAGAAGUGUCUAAAGCAGAAAACACACAAUGAGAAAUAACACGUACCUAAAACUACAGGCUACAGUGAAUGUCUAUCAGGAAAUGAGGAUCUGAAGCUCCGUCUUUAAGGAUUCACAGUACACUUGCAAAA